This is a non-coding RNA of Solanum lycopersicum (tomato), 1075 nucleotides long. Lineage: Eukaryota; Viridiplantae; Streptophyta; Magnoliopsida; Solanales; Solanaceae. The record is from RefSeq and is a predicted model, not a curated record.
CCCAACACUAACUUAAUUGCUUUCAACUCAACGCUGUCAAGCCCACUCCCAAUUUCAGACAAUUAGUUAAUUUCCAAGCCCAAACUCUUAACAGCCCACUUCAUUGCUUUUAAACAACAACCCAAUCCAACUCCAUUCCUCAUCCAACCCAACACCAAACUUAAAUAACCCGCCACCCGACCCGACCCAGACAACCCUUUCCCUUUCUUCUUCCCAAACGCUCACCUAAUUCCCAGAAAGAAAACAGAAACCCAUAAUUCCCCAGAAAUCACGCGAAAAACAGAGAAACGCCAGCAACCCCAUCGCGUCUCUCCCCGCGUCUCCCUCACGUCCUCUCUCCUCUCCUUCCCUCUCUCCCGCGUCUCCCCCACGCUCGCUCUCUCCUUCCCCUCUCGACAGAAACCCAGAAAAACAGACCGACUCCUGCAAACGCCAACAGCCCCACGCUCUUCUCCUUCCAUAUUUCUCUUCGCGUGAACCAGACGGAAGCGCAGAGACCCAUACACUGUCGAGUAGGUCUGCGAGGUGUCAAUUUCAUCCUCUCCAACAGGCCUGUGCCAUGUGAAGUUUGACCGAAAUGGGAUUUAGUUUCGAAUUCAAAAGGAGAAAAGGGGGGCUAUUCCUUCUCCUCUAUAAAUACCCCUUUUCUUCAUCACAAAAGGGUUAGAGAAUUUUCAUCGAAGAAUUCGGAAAAAGCAGAACUUGGGUUGGAUAUUUUUUGGAAAUUUGGUCGAUAGUUUAAGUUGAAUCGUUGGUUGAAACUUUGUUAACAUUUUAGCAUAAGAAUAGUCCAGUUCUUCAGCUUUCCUUACGCACUUCGGAAGAGUUGAUCGAUCCAUCGGCUUCCUUCCCUCGUUUGGGUGUUCGAGUUGUCAUUCGUGGCAGAAGCAGUUCGCACCUGCUCGUAUCGUCUCAAUUCGUUGCUCGUCAACAGGAUGUUAAUUGGUAAAAGGCCCAAAUCUAAAUUAUUGGAUUAGGACAGGUGGGCUAAAGCCCAAUUGAAUGAAUUUGGGCAAUUAAGCCCAAGUUCAAAUAUUUUUUCUCUUUGUUUAAUAUUUGUUUGAAUUGAUUAGUA